AAGCGUACACGGUGGAUGCCCUGGCAGUCAGAGGCGAUGAAGGACGUGCUAAUCUGCGAUAAGCGUCGGUGAGGUGAUAUGAACCGUUAUAACCGGCGAUUUCCGAAUGGGGAAACCCAGUGUGUUUCGACACACUAUCAUUAACUGAAUCCAUAGGUUAAUGAGGCGAACCGGGGGAACUGAAACAUCUAAGUACCCCGAGGAAAAGAAAUCAACCGAGAUUCCCCCAGUAGCGGCGAGCGAACGGGGAGGAGCCCAGAGCCUGAAUCAGUGUGUGUGUUAGUGGAAGCGUCUGGAAAGGCGCGCGAUACAGGGUGACAGCCCCGUACACAAAAAUGCACAUAUUGUGAGCUCGAUGAGUAGGGCGGGACACGUGGUAUCCUGUCUGAAUAUGGGGGGACCAUCCUCCAAGGCUAAAUACUCCUGACUGACCGAUAGUGAACCAGUACCGUGAGGGAAAGGCGAAAAGAACCCCGGCGAGGGGAGUGAAAAAGAACCUGAAACCGUGUACGUACAAGCAGUGGGAGCCUCUUAAUGGGGUGACUGCGUACCUUUUGUAUAAUGGGUCAGCGACUUAUAUUCUGUAGCAAGGUUAACCGAAUAGGGGAGCCGAAGGGAAACCGAGUCUUAACUGGGCGUUAAGUUGCAGGGUAUAGACCCGAAACCCGGUGAUCUAGCCAUGGGCAGGUUGAAGGUUGGGUAACACUAACUGGAGGACCGAACCGACUAAUGUUGAAAAAUUAGCGGAUGACUUGUGGCUGGGGGUGAAAGGCCAAUCAAACCGGGAGAUAGCUGGUUCUCCCCGAAAGCUAUUUAGGUAGCGCCUCGUGAAUUCAUCUCCGGGGGUAGAGCACUGUUUCGGCAAGGGGGUCAUCCCGACUUACCAACCCGAUGCAAACUGCGAAUACCGGAGAAUGUUAUCACGGGAGACACACGGCGGGUGCUAACGUCCGUCGUGAAGAGGGAAACAACCCAGACCGCCAGCUAAGGUCCCAAAGUCAUGGUUAAGUGGGAAACGAUGUGGGAAGGCCCAGACAGCCAGGAUGUUGGCUUAGAAGCAGCCAUCAUUUAAAGAAAGCGUAAUAGCUCACUGGUCGAGUCGGCCUGCGCGGAAGAUGUAACGGGGCUAAACCAUG
This 1136-nucleotide ribosomal RNA is filed under the name Escherichia coli. RNAcentral's name for it is "partial 23S ribosomal RNA". It matches the Rfam family "Bacterial large subunit ribosomal RNA", at positions 13 to 1191 of the family's 2925-position model. Lineage: Bacteria; Pseudomonadati; Pseudomonadota; Gammaproteobacteria; Enterobacterales; Enterobacteriaceae. The record is from RNAcentral.